This 258-nucleotide ribosomal RNA is filed under the name uncultured bacterium. Its description in RNAcentral is "partial 16S ribosomal RNA". It matches the Rfam family "Bacterial small subunit ribosomal RNA", at positions 526 to 779 of the family's 1533-position model. The record is from RNAcentral.
CGGAGGGUGCAAGCGUUAAUCCGGAAUCACGUGGGUUUUAAAAGGGUUCGUAGGCGGUUUUAUAAGUCAGGGGUGAAAGCAUGCAGCUUAACUGUAUAAUUGCCUUUGAUACUGUAGGACUUGAAUAAGGUUGAGGUUGGCGGAAUGUGACAUGUAGCGGUGAAAUGCUUAGAUAUGUCAUAGAACACCGAUUGCGAAGGCAGCUGACUGGGCCUUUAUUGACGCUGAGGCACGAAAGCGUGGGGAGCGAACAGGAUU